Molecule: unclassified non-coding RNA, 316 nt
Filed under: Hevea brasiliensis (rubber tree)
Lineage: Eukaryota; Viridiplantae; Streptophyta; Magnoliopsida; Malpighiales; Euphorbiaceae
Source: RNAcentral
UUCCUCUGUGAAAGUGCUCUGCAUGCCACAAAACCUCCCAAGCCAAUAGGUAUGAUUGCUGCAUCUGAGCCACCACAAAGCAUGAUAUUAGCUUCGCCUCUAAUGAUGUGGUUUGCUGCAUUCAAUAUACAAAAAUUGCUGGUAGCACAAGCAGUGGAAAUUGAAUAGUUUGGCCCCAUCCAACCCAGGUCCAUUGCAAGCAUUGCAGAACCCAUAUUUGUAGUUGCAAAAGGCACACAGAAAGGAUUCAUCUUCUUGUAGGAGAUCCUUAGUGCUUCAAUUGCAUCGUUGAAAACCUUCAUGCCACCCAUUGCAG